AGGGUCUAAACCUGGCUGUUACAGAACUCAUUAAUUCACUUUCAUUUGAUUCUCACAUAGGUUCUGUACGUACCUGUCUUGCUUAACUCGAUCGUACUUCCAUUCUCAACUUUCACUUACUUGUUGAUUUCUGCCACGAAUACUUUGCUUUUGUUGUACCAUCACUUAUAACCAUGUUUCAUCCACUUUUCCCAUUGAACCAUUUGGAAUACUAAAUCUCGGGGAUCUCGUACACAUAGUACCAUAACAAUGCCAUAUCCCAGAUAUGGUAUUACAUGUAAUCUCGUAUCGAUGCCAAUAGCUCAGCCAUGGUCUUACAUGAAAUCACAUAUUGAUGCAAAUGUCCCAGACAUGGUCUUACACAAAUUCUCAUAUCGAUGUCAUAUCCCAGAUAUGGUCUUACACGUAAUCUCGGUAACCCUAAUGUCAUGACAUUUAUAUCCUAUCUAUUCCUAAGGUUCAACCAGGACUUUUACUUUGUCGAAUCUCCGUCGAACAUUUCUAAAUCAUUGUAAUCACAAUUAAAUUCAAUAUUUAAGCAUUCACCAUAAUUAUCUCAAUUAAGAAUUUAAACAUGUAUAAUUUAAUGCUUAUUAAACAUACAAACUUACCUCAUUCGCUGAACCGACAAAUUAGGUCGACUAAUCCGAUACUUUGUUUUCCCCCGCUCUAGAUCCAAAUCUCGUUUAUCUCAAUCUAUAUAAUAUCAAAAUUUACUUAUUUAAUCAUCAUUUCAUUCAAUUUAGCACAAUUUACACAUUUUGGAAAAAUUACAUUUUGCCCCUAUUAUUUCACAUUUUUGCAAUUUAGUCCUUAUCACAUAAAAUCACAAUUUCAUGAAAUUAAACACAAACCCAAGCUAGCCAAAAUUUCCAUAUAUUACUAUCAGCCCAUAUUUUCAAUUUAUUUCACAUUUUAACCACUAAAUUUCUACAUUUCACAAUUUAGUCCAAAAUUGACAUUUUUCUCAAAAAAAUCACUUUAUAAAAGAUGAAAAUCUAACAUCAAAUAUUCAUAAUCUAUCAUAAAUCAUUAAUUUACUCAAGCAUUUAACAAUGGCAACAUGUUAAAUCUUUAACAGUUUCGAAUUCAGAAGCACAUGCUAGCUAGAUUACGAAGCAACGAUCACAAAAACAUAGAAAUAACUAAAAAUGGGACAAAAAUACAUACCACACAAGCUAUUUAGUUGUCGAAUGUAAAAGCUCUCAAAUGGCUUUUCUUCCCUAAAAUUCGGUUGAAGAUGGAGAAGAAAAGAUGAUACAUUUACUUUAUUUUACUUAAUUUAUCAUUAUUAAUUAAUUUACUUUUAUAACCUUUGAAACAUUUAAAAUUUACACAAAUGUCAAGCCAUCACAUUUCACUAUCAACAUUAAUGGUCUAAUUACCAUAUAAGGACUUCCACUUUAAAGCCCUAUAGCUAUAGCUAUUAGCUCAAUUUUUACGCUUUACAUGAUUUAGUCCUUUUUACCGAAUUAAACACUUAAACGAUAAAAUUUCUUUACAAAAAUUUCACACAACUCUAAUAUCAUGCUGUAAAUAUUAAAAUAAUAAUAAAAUAAAUUUUAUGAUCUCGAAUUUGUGGUUUCAAAAUCACUAUUCUGAUUUAGCUAAAACCGGACUGUUACAUGGGGUGUUACAGAUAGUGCUUUUUUAUUUCGUUAUAUAUUUUUUAUUUUUGUGUUUUUAUUUUAAUUUGUCUUGUUAAAAAUUUAGCUUAAUCAUGUUUAAUAACAAUGUAUAUAGGUGGUCGGUGACCGAUACAACUAUUAGGAAACUCCAAUACCUUUCUUUACGAGAGUUCAUUUUUUAUUUGUUGUGAACAAAGUUUAUGCAUGCUCCAUUGUCCAUAUAUUGAAAAGCAGUGAAACACAUUCUUCAAUAUUUGAAAAAAACCUCCAACUAUGGUCUUUGAGUCACUCGUCAUUUGGAUCCAAAUCUUUACAUAUACUCAAACACAGAAUGGGUAGGUGAUCACACCGAUUGCGGUCUGACAAUUGAUUUUAUUAUUUAUUUUGAUCAAACCCAAUAAGUUAGUCCUCAAAGAAACAACCUACCAUUGCUCGCUCCUCCACUGAAGCUAAAUAUCAAACAAUUGCAACUACUACUUCUAAAACUCUUUGGGUUAUGAAUCUGGUAAAAAAGCUCAAACUUCCACCAUCUCAUCUUCUAAAAAUCUUUUUGACAGUCGAGAUACAACAUCUCAUAGCUAACAUUUGGUUUUGCAUAGCAAAAUGAAGCAUCUUGAGAUGGAUUUACAUUUCAUUUACGAUCAUGUUCAAAGAAAAAAUUUGGAUGUCACUCACAUUCUAUGGCCAAUCAAAUUGUUGACCCACUUACAAAAGCACUCCCCGAAGCAGUCUUCAUAUCUAACCUCAACAAGUUAGAUGUUGUUCCAAGUCAUGUGGCACCUAGACUUCUUGUUUAAACUUUAAACUUGAAUUUUAUUUGAAUUAACUCUUCUUAUUUAGGAGUUUUCUUGAUAGUUCAUGUAUAUAAAUAGAUGUCACAUAUUUUUUAUAAACUUUACUUAUUUAGAUAUUAGUUUUUAUGUAAAUAUUUAUAUAUACUUGUAAUUUAAUGUAAUUAAAAUAAUGUAUUUAUUUAGCCUUGUUCAAGUUCAUUAGUUAUGUAGCAGGUAAACAGUAUUCCGGUCGACACGAUUAGGCGAAACACAUCGAUAUCAUUAACACCAGUCAAAACUUUUACCAGAACGAAAAUGUAAUUUGGAGUUCUGAUAUAUUAUCGAAACAGAACCUACGGAUUGAAAUGACUGGUACUAACUACUAUGGAUAAAACAUGAAGCUUGGAAGCAGAAUACAGGUAAGUGGUGCAGUGUCAAAUAAUUCAAUUUUGAAUCAUGGAAGGUCUUCUUUAUGGCUAACAGGAAACAGAACGGUUAAAAUAAUUAGCAUUAGAAGCCCAUGUUGCCUUUUCAAUUCAGUUGCAUUGAGUCACAAAACACUUUAUAGCUUGAUAUCUUGUUGAUGUGUAUCAAGGAGUGGGAUAAGGAAGAAGGGAAUUAGAAGGUAAGGUUGGAGAGAGAGAGGGGCGAGGUUCACAUUAAUAAUGUAGAGAGCCACUCCUAUUUAGACAAGUGCCAUCUUUUUGGAUGUUCGAGAAAUGAGUUAUGGACUCCUACGAACACGUAUACUAGUAUGCGCUACCAAGCCACAUGUUAUCUUGUUAAACUAAUUCAACCACCAUGAUAAUGGAUUAACCAACUUUACAUGCGAUUUGUUUAUCGUUUAAUAGUUGGUCUUGACAAGGUGAACACCCAACAAGGCCUCCAAUAGGGUAAGGCAAAACCUGACAUAUGGCAUAUUAUUACUGGACAAUAUUAACUUUUUGAAAUAAAAUGCGACGGGAUGAUAGUUUAAGUAUCAAAAUAGAAGAUAAGUAUACUUCAAAAUAUUAAGCCUUGCAAGGCUCCAUUUUAGUUUAAAGACAUACAAAUAAAGAGAAGAAAUAAAUAAGUUCAACACAAACCUGCAGUUUUGGUAUCAUUAUUGAACUAAUCCAUAGUUGAAUGAGCAACAAACAUGAUAAUAAGAAUUGUCCUUUUCGAGCACCUAUAGACCCUCAAGGUGCAUCUCAUUUGGUUCGAACUAGAGAUCUCUUCCUCAAGAGUCCUUUUACUAACAUGUAUACUGAUUGAGCUAGUAAGUGCUUCAAGGAAAAUAAUCUUCCCUCUUUGUCACCUUAAUUUAUAGAACAACAAUAAAGGCCAUGCAUCAUAUCAACAUGUAAGGCCUAGAUAAGGGUAUAUAGCAGGUAAUAUUAUAGGCAAUGCCUGAAAGCAAUAAUAACAAAAACAACUGCUGUAAUUGGUUCAGUUAUUACAAAGUGCUUUUUAAUAUGGUACGGUCAGAUUAAAUCUUAAUAGCUCAUGGUAUCAUGACACAAACAACACAGAAACUAAAGCCUGCUACAAUCAGGUACAGCAAAAAGAAUUGCACAAAAGGUUCGACAUCCUCGUCUUCUUUUAUCGCUGUUUGCUUCAGUCCUUUGUCUUGGGUUCCUUUAUAAAUCAAAGCAAAUGAUUCACAGUUUCAAAUCAUAGACAAGGCAAGCAACUCCUAGAUGUACUUAAAAGCAAGACUUUUCAGCCAAACCGGUUCUGAGUUAUAGCCAUUGGAGUAUACCCAAAAGAAAAGUUGAGUAGAAAAUUUUCUCACCUUGGUACAAACGUAGAUGUAAUGGACGUCAGGGUUUUUUCCAAGUACAUCUUCCACCGAGCUUCCACUCUCAUCCAACAGAAUUGGGUCUGUCAAUGCCCUUGUUGGCUGUUCGGAACUUCCUUCUGCUCCAAAUUUCGCUGCAUGAUAAAGAGCUAGAUUAGAACUAUGUCAUUCAUGCCAGGCUACUAUACAUGGAGGAUGAAACUAGUUUUACAGGCUUCAAGAAUCUAGUUACUCUCACGAAUCAUGUUCUUAUUCUGGAGUGAUUUAUGCUGUACAGUAAGAUAAAUAGAAAUAUUUGCUGUUCUACUUAUGUCAAGAGAGAAAAUAAACACAGCACUCUUCUAAAACAUUCAUUUCAUAGGAAGCAUAAGGGAAUAUGCGAUCUUAUGCAUCUUAAUGGUUAACUAGAUUCAAAAGUCACUCUUCCUUUUCGUUCAAAUCAACUAAGUAAUUCUACGCCAUUUUCUUUUAUUUGUCUAAGCAUCAUCAUUCCUUAAUAAGCUCGUUACAUCUUGUGACAACUCAGCAGUAUAUGGUCAGCACCUGAGAUUCUCAAUUUGGGGUCUCAAGUUCAAACCUCAGGCAGAGAGGUGAAGAUUAUGGGAUGGGAGAUGGUUACCUACAAUAAGAAACCCGAUGCCUACCUAGGCCAUCUGUUAUAUAUUUGAAGUAAUUACUUUACAUGCUCUAUAAUAUUCAAGUGAUUGCAAAUGACAUUAUCAAUUCUAGGAAAGAUCUGAUCAUUCAGCUGUCACAAGUCAGUACCACCUAACCCCAUAACAAAAGGAUUAUGGCAAGCGUACAAAGUAUUCCACAUAAAAAAAUGAAAAGUAUAAGGUAUUGACAACAUAGUAACCAGAAUGGGAAUUCAAUCAACCUAUCACAUGCAGUUUUAUGCUCCACAUGCACGAUUCUUUCAGCAAGCCAAGGCGAUAUACUGGAGCUCCAUAUGUAAUCUGCAGCACUUGCAAGAACAGUUAGGGAAAAAAAAUAUCUGUACAUACAGAGAGAUUGCAAUCUGAAUGGGGGAAAAUGCAAAUAACUCAAAAUCCAUGCCACACAAGCAGAACAAAUAUUUUAUGCAAAAGGAAUAAAAGGUGAGUAAAGUUACCAGAAUAUAGACUCCUUUAUCCUUGAGGACCCUAUAGUGUGUUAUCAACUGCUUCAAUAUAUGGUGAACAGAUCAAGAAAACCCAUAAAAAGAAAUUUCUAAUGUAGACAAGUCUAAUCAACUAUGUUGCUCAGACUCGAAGCACCAAAUCCAAAACGUGGAUAUGGGAGGUUCCUUGGAAAGACUUGGAAAUAUCUAACCAUAUCCGACACUAACACCCGAGUCCAAGUAUCAUAGCUAGUUACUUUUAAUGAUUAUUAUACCUCCAGACUUCCCCAAGCAUUUGAGUAGCAUUCUGUCUAGAAUUAUUCCCACACUGCACAAAAAAGUUUCCCAUCAGCUUAUUAUUGUCAAAUCAGAUCUCAAGAAGAACAUAUAUAAGCCACAAAUUCAUAAACACUCACCAAGAUAGAAUCAAGGGUCCCUGAAAAAAAUCACCAUUUAACAAAUGAAAAUCAGUAAUGUUUAAGGCCAAAAAUAAUUUAAUUAACGAAAUAAAAACAAAAAGCCAACACCUUUAUCAAUAACUGCUGCAAAGGAACCAGCUUGAAAAGGACUCAUAUCUCGUACAUCCAAUUUAAUAUCUAUAAAAAAAGAAAAAGAAAGAAAAAUUUGUCAAAAAAAAAAAAUUCAUUUCCGCGUAUUUUAUUUUGAUUUGAAUAAAGAACUCAAGCUAUGAAUACAUUUUAGCUGCUGACAAUUAGAGUACUUGGUUUGCAUAGCUUCAAUAACCACAGAUGAUAUAUCAACGUUAACAACAUCCUCGUACCCAUCGUUCACCAUGUCUUCACUAAACACUACAACAACAACAAAAAAAUGCAGAGAUUUGGUACAUAAAACCAAGAGAUCUGAAAAAGGGUAUGCAUUGAUUUUGUAGAGGAGUAGGUACCUGAGUUGCCACAGCCGACAACGAGAAUGCGUUCAUGGCGGUGGGGCACAUAAAGGUGAAUAAGAGAUGCUAAGGCAGGGUAUUUUUGGUACCAAUCAAAAGGAGCUGAUUCAUGGGCAUAGCGGUUAUCCCAGUACCAUGGCUCACCGUAUGCUUGAGAUGAUGGUGUACCCAAGGUCAUCUUCUUCUUUUUUUCUGCAACUCGGUUUAUGAUAUAUGUUUGUUGAAUUGUAAUGAGAUUUGGGUUAUGGAGUUUAUUGCAAAAAAAUGUUGGCAGUUUCGGAGUUGGUGAAAUAAAUCAGGUUGUCUCGCAGGUACACCGUGUGGAGCUUUUUCUUUUGUUGGGAUUUGGCCAUGUUUAUCAUCAAACAUCAAAGUACUAUGUAUCUCUCUCUUACCAACACGUGUGUUUGUUUUAAUCCACCCGAUUAGGAACUUAUUAAGGGUUAUUUAAUCAUAAUUAUUAUUAAUAAUCUUUUUUAUUCAUUGUCUUGAACUAACAUUUUGGUCGUGUGUUUGUGAGAAUCACAACAGGCUUUUUUUGCUUCACCAUGUUUUUAUGAUAGGAAAAAAAAGACAGACAGGGAAAAAUAUAUGCUAUGAAUAUUUCAUUCUUGAAAAGGACAGUAUCAAUAACCAUUGAAGUUUAGUUGCAUAACCUGCUUGGUUAUGCUAUAUGUCUGUAUGCACGUCGGCAGAAUAUGUCAGCUGACCCGGCGAACAUAAAUUGGAAUUGUCUUUUUCUUUUGUACAUAAGUCUCUCGAAGUUUUGUUACCCUCAAACUACAUAUAAGUGUAUGUUUAGACAUUAACUCAAUCACAACAAAUAAAUAAAUUCUCUCUACAGAAUGGAUGACAAUUGAUCUAGCUGCACUUGUAGGUGCCCAAAGCAGACAAUUUUUGCUCAUGCUUAGGACAAGACUUAUGUUUUGCGGGUCAAGUUAGAUCGUGACAAAAUAAAAAAAAAUUGGAAUAAAAGUUGAGAAAACAAGUGAGCUCUUUCUUAUAGGCUAUAAACUAAAUAAGUAAGCCCUUAAAGUUAGUUUUGAACCCAUAAAUUUUCAGGUUUUGAAGGAGCAUUAAAGUCCCAUAGAUAGAAUCAAUUAAAGGAUUACGAGAAAUAACUUGUAAGCAAACAAUACCAUUAAUGGUUUCUGAUCCUUUUACGAGGCAAAAGCCAAAAAGCCCAAAGAGGAGCAUCAUAAUAGCCGAAAACAAAAGCAAACGGUAGUUCAAAAUGGAAUGCCUGUUAUAUCAACAGUAGAAAGGGGGUGGGGGUGAAGGAUGUGAAUGGGAACAACAAACACCUGUUGGCUCAAAUAAAAAAUUGAUAUUUAAAAUGAAAUCGAGUAUGUAUUAAACUUGUAAUUGUAAAAAAGCAAGUCAUUAGACAUAUAUGCACGUAAGAAUUUUCAAACAACCAUUUUUGCCCUGCUCUCAUUUCAAUGGAUUGCAGAACCUGCAAGUAAAAUAAAAUGGUCAUGGUAUAUUCUCUAAAAGCUUUUACUUCAAAUUUUAAUUGCUUCUUUGGUUUUGGAAAAUAAACUUCGAUUGCUUGAUACUCCAUCUUUCAUUAAGCAAGUUGAGAAUAAUAACAGCUUGUUGAUUUAUCACAACAUUCCUCUCUAAGCCAAGGAUGAGAUUCUGUUUUACAUAUAUACAUACAGAUACAUAGCAAAUUAGCUGUAUUUCUAAAGAAAAUUGUAUCCAAAAAUUUGUUGCCAUGGCAAACUUGGUCUAUAGUAACCUAGAAGGUAGGUAUCCUUUUGUGCAUGCCUGGUUUAGUGUUUUUAUGAGCUAAUUAUAAGCUUGUUCUCAUUGCAGAAGUUGGAAGAUGUAUAUCAGAAGCAGCACCUAGACAUUACAUAAUAAAGAUCAUGUCAUUUUCUUUACUUGCAAAGACUGGCAUAGACAAGUAUGAAUCUGGAGAGUUUGAAGCUGGUGGAUACAAAUGGUAUCAUUAAUUUCUUCAAAACCGUGUAUGUUUAUUAGCUUAAUUAGCCUUCUUUUAAUUUGUGUAUGGUCACAGGAAACUGGUGCUGUACCCACAUGGAAACAAGAGUAGAAAUGUAAAAGAGCACCUUUCUCUCUACUUGGUUUUUGCAGAUGUUGCUUCUCUGAUUCGUCUUGAUUCGGAAGUCCACGCUGUUUUCCGGUUUUUCCUGCUUGAUCAGACCAAGGACAAUUACUUGGUAGUUCAUGGUAUUAUAUUUUCCUUCCAAACAACAUUACUGUUUUUAUUGAUAUUUGCAAUGAACAACUAUUUCAGAAAUAUAGGUGGAAUGGAGAUGCUUUAAAAGAGAAUUUUUUACCUCUGAUUUUGAUGCCUAGAUGCCGCGGGAAAAGAAAGGCCGUUUCAUAGAUCAAUGCAUCAGUGGGGAUUUGAUCAGUUGAUACCAAUUAGAAGUUUUAAUGAUGUUGGCAAUGGAUACCUACUGGAUGACAGUUGUGUGUUUGGAGCUGAAGUGUUUGUUACCAAGGAAAUGAGCUCAGGGAAAGGAGAAUGCUUAUCAAUGAUAAAGGAUGCCUUAAGUUCCAAGCAUGUUUGGAAGAUUGAAAACUUUUCCAAUUUAGAUUCAGAGUACAAUGAAUCACAACAAUUCUUUGCUGCCAAUCAUAAAUGGUAUAUAUCCACUUUAUCUCCUACUCCUCUAUGAUAUCUGUUAGAGCAUAUCGUGGUGAUAAAAGGAGCACCUUCAAGGUUUUGUCUCUCUCGGCUCUAAAGAGAGCUUAAGGGUGUCUCUUGAUGCUUGAACAGGCAAAACCAUGACUAAAGAAAAGCAAUCACAUGAGGACAAAACCUUGAGGGUGCGCCGGUUCUUCAACAACACCCAAAGAGGACGAUACCUUCAUAUUAUCUGUGAGAUAUGCUGUAACGAUAUUCUAAGAUUUUAAUUGCAAUUUCAAGGGGAUUUUGUUCACCUUUAUGAUGCAGGAAAAUACAUCUUUUUCCCAGAGGAAGACGGCAUGAAUUAGGCACUCAUAUCUCCAUGUAUUUGGCUUUAGCAGAUUCUGCCACACUUUUGGAUGGUUCUAAAAUAUUUGCAGAGUUCACCUUGCGUAUUCUGGACCAACAGCAGAGAAGGCACAUUGCUGGAAAAGGUAUAAAAAGCUCAAAUCAUCUGUAAAUAACAUUCACUAAAAUCCUUACAAAAAUGAAAAUCAAAUGUACAUUAGAAAGCAUAAUAUUUUCAUUUCUGUUGCAGUUAGUCACUGGUUUAGUAGCUCAAGCCAAGAAAGUGGGUUUGAAAAUUUUGUUUCUCUGGCUUAUUUCUAUCAUGCAAGUAGUGGGUGCCUAGUGAAAGAUAUAUGCAUGGUGGAAGCUGAGGUGACUGUCCACGCCGUUUCCAAUACAUUGUAACUAAUGUUUUGCUAUAAUUAAACUCAGGGCUCGCAUUAGACACUCGUGACCGAAGCAUAUCUAGACACGAGUGAAGGUAUACAAUCUUUCCUCGCAUAACUGUAUCAAACAAUGUGCAGUGCCAAUAUGAUACAUAAAAAAGGAAACAUAAAUAUGCAAAUACAAGUCAUAUAAACAUUUUAUAUUUAAAUAUAGUUACAUCAUUUACAGAUCAAUAGGGUGAAUUGAACUAUAAACAAUUACAACAACACAUACAUAGAUAUGUAUAUAUAUUUGCCAAUGUUUUACAUUGAAGAUUAAAGAUGCAGAGGAGAGUUUAGCCAAAAGUUUCCUCAGUGCUGUAACACAUGUAGAGAAACCCAUCAUCAUCUUUGAAAGAAUUAUAGACACACCCCAUGAGACUUACUGCGUAGUUGAGAUAAAAAGAAAAAAUGGGUCAGCAAGUUCUUGUUUAAUGAAUCAAUUAGUAAGAAUCAUCCAUGAGAGAAAUGCAGAUGGUUUUUUAACCUGAUUGAGGUAAUGUAUUGUGCACAAAAACAAAGUGAGCUUUUCCAGGACUCAAAUGUAGCCUGCUACUUAAAAUGUGAAUGAACUGACCCACCAACAUGUCUCGAGGAACCAGGAACCUUGAGAGCCAAGAAAAAAGGAGAGUUAAAAGAAACCAAUUAAUAAUAUUUACCCAGUUUUAUUAACUUCAUAUAUAUAUAUAUAUAAUGAGAAUAAAAGGAAAAAGAAAACAAUACAUAUUCUUCUCUAUAUCUGGGAGGUCUGUCCUUGAAUACCUUUCAAUGAUCACCUGGAAUAUAAACAAACAUAUAAUAGACAGACAAAAAAAAGUGAUCACUAACCACCAUUUAUGGUUGAGGCUGACACAAUGUUUGAGCCUAUAGCUGUAAUUAGCAGGUUAAUAACUCAAAAAUAAAGUGACCAAAAUUUAUUACAUCCAAGAAAACCCUUUUCAGACCAAAAUUUGAUUAAUCAGAUACUGUAAUAGAAAAGAUCAUAUUGCAAUUCAUAUGCCUAAUAUUUUUUAAUAACAAUUAGGAACCUUGGCCCCCUUAGUAUAGGCAAACUACACUUCUAGCCUCUUCUAAAAAUUAUUAACUUAAUUUAAGCCCUUUAGCCCCUUAAAUAAAUGUUAAAAUUCCAUUUUUGGCUAUUCCAAAAAUUUAAUAAUUUAAUUUAAGUUUUUUUAACAAAUUUUUUUUUAAAACUUUUAUCAUCCAAAAUUUUAUAAUUUUAUCUCAGCCUCAACAUAAAAAUUUCUCCUAUAUAAAUAAAAUAAUUAAAAAAAUCAAUGAAAUUAGAGAUGCUGGUGAUUAAAUUUACAGGAAUUCGAUCUGGGUAUUUGGCUAAUAUAGUUUUUGAUUAUUCCAGUCGUUGCUCUGCAAAUGCAAAUGCAAAACAAAACAAAAACAAAAAACCAUAAUCAUAAUCAUAAUCUAUCAAAGGCAAAGAAAAAGGUACUGAAAAUAUUUACCUAGUGAUUGCUCCUUUAGAAAAGGCUGACGCUUCACCAUUGUUAUGUCUUUUGAGAAACAAGAGUUUUUUCUGAGUAAGACAACAACAACAGAAAAAAACCGAAGGAGAAAAUGUGGCCUUUCUAGGUAGACAUUUCAACCUAAGAGAGGACCUGUCUCAUUGUGUUUUGAGACCUGUUUCAACCAGGCUGUUAAGAUGUUAGUUUCGAGGAUGUUAUUAAUGUCGGUACCCAAAAGAAACAAUGGUAAAUAAAGUAUAAAAGAUUUAUUCGACUAAAGAAGUAGUUAGAACCAUUUUGCCUGGUUGUCUGAUUAAUGUAUAAAAAAGACAAUAAAAGAAACGGUUGGGUGAUGGUGAGAUGUGUCGGCGGCAUAAUUCCGGCUUCCUUUAGUAGCUCCUUUAUGUCAUUAACAUAGACGAUUAAAAUGGCAAUGUUUCAUGAGUUUGUGGCUGGUUAAAGCCUCUCUUCUUCUUCUAAAUCUCUGUUAAGGAAGGCCAUUCAACAUUUAUCUCUAACUAGGUUUAACUUUGCCACAUGUGUCCUAUAGGUUUGUGAAAAUCCCUUGGCAGGGCAACAAUGUUUGGAUCAGCCCAUUAAAGUUUAUGACUCUCAUGUGGGUUACCAUUUCGAUGUGGGCAGCAGGAGAGAUUAGAUAUUUAGAUCCCACUAAUAAAAUAUCUCAACUUGGUAGGUGAUGAUUCUUCAUAUAAUAUCUUAGUGAAUUAGUAUUAAUUCAUUUCAUAUUAUAUUUAUAUAUUGUUUUUUUAAAUGCAAAUUAAGAAUAUAUGAUAAACUCUCAACCGAGUUGUGAAAUUAAAGAAUUAUACUACCAGUGUACGAAAAUUAUCUUUUAUUUAUAGCAUUUUUUUAUUAAUUUUGUAUAUUCUUUAUAUAGGACGCAUAAUUUUAAUUUUGAUAUUUUUAUGUUAUUUUAAUUAAUUUUAUUUUAAUACGUGUUGAAACUUGAAAGUGGUUUUAUGCUAUACUCAUUUUAUUAUUUUAUUCAUUUCUAAAAUAUUAUGUGCAAUCUAUCAAAUUAGUUGAAUUAUUCGUUCGAUUUUCACAACAUUAUGAAAAGUGUUUUGUGAUAGGAUAUAUAGUUGGUAAUGCAAAAAAGUGAGAAAUGCAUAAAAAAAUUAUAGUGUGAAAAAAAAAUAAUUAGAAAUUUAAUAUAACUUAAUUAUUAAGGAUUUAUAUUUAAUAUAAUAACAAUAUUAAUAAGCUAAAUAAUAUCACCAACUAAAAAAAAUAAAACUAAAUUCAUUUAUCUUUAUUUUUAAUAACAUACCAUCAUUUGAUUGGUUGAAAAUGCAUUAUAAUACGUCAAAUAUUAACAUAAUUAGUAAUGGCAAUAUUGAUUGAAUUCCGUUUAUUAGGAAUGAUAGGGGAGAGUAAUGGUGGGUUUGGAUGGGCGAUUGGGUGCGGUGCGGUGCGUUUAGCUUACUUUUUCUCUCGCGCUACAGUAUCUCUACAGUAUCUAAUCUCACCGCCACCGCUGUUUUUACACUAACCGCAAGUAAACGCACCACCCAUCCAAACUCACCCUAAGAGGGAAUUGAAAUAAGCUAGAGUUUAUACAUGUGUAUAUUUGCCUUCAACAACAAAUUAAAUCUAAUAAUUAAAAAAUAAGGAUUGAAAUUGAUGUGUCAAAAUAAACAAAAUAAUCUCUCUCCCUCCUUUCAAUGUUUAUUUAAUGAUUUAUAAUAAGAUAAUAUAUCAAAUCUGGUAAUAUAAGAUAUGUGUUUAUCUAAGGUCAAGUCUUCUUGUUUAGUAUACCUACCAACUCUUUUUUUCUUUUUCUUUUUCUCUCUCUUUAGGAAGGCUUUUAUCAUGCCACACCUUCAAGCUUUUCAAUCAAAAUGGUAAAUUUAUAUAUUAUGUCUUAAAUAUUUUAGAUCAUCAUAUUUCAAUCCAGUACUACUGUCAACUGAUCAGGUGGCAUUUCAUAAAAAAAUUUAUUUUUAAAAUUUAAUGUGACUGGUGACUGAAGGGAGGAGUGCCUCUGAUUGGUUAGAUGACACUGAUUUUUUACUUUAACUCUUGCCUAAAUUCGUAAAUAUUAUUGCUUUUAUCUCAUUUCAGUAUUUAUUUAAUUAUUUUACACUAUUUUAGUAAAAAAACACUUUAAUAGCAUAUGGGUAAAGUAGAUGAUGCUUUGUGUGUCUUCGGUUAAUUAUGUUGUUCCUUUUAAUGGUAAUGAGCUUGGAUUUAUUGUUUCUUGUUUAUUUUGUACAUUGAAUAAUUCAAUUAUAUGAUGCAAAAAGCUUAAAUGAGGAAGGUGUUGUAUGGAAUCUCUAUUUGUCGAGAAAAUUCGAUAGUUUCCUAUUUAUUAUUUGCUAUUUGCUGAUGAAAUUUUUUUUUAUCUUUUGAAUUAGUAUUUAUAUGUUAAUUACAUUUAUCAUAUUUUAUCCAUAUAAAAUGGAACUAAAUAAAAAGUAACACAAAUUAAAGUUAGGAGUAAUCCAUGAAUGUACCUAUGUGUGUGUUUGUUUAUAUUAAUAAAACCAAAUGUAUGAUGAGUUUUGAUAUUGCAAGUGAUAUGGUUGUUAGAAUUUCCAAGGAGGUAUUGGAAUGUGACCUGAUUCUUGGAGAAAAUUAAAACUGCUGUCAUUAUCUCUCACCAACCCACCAUGCCAUUCCUAAACCAAACCAUUCAUUGCACAAAAGGUUUUUUUUUAACCCAUGCCUUGGUGCAUCAUCAUCAUUAUUUAAUUUAAAAUUAUUUUAUAUUAUUAAUAAACUUAAAAUGUAUAAAAAAAUUAAAAAAUGGAAAGAGGUAUAUAAAGUUGUUGGAAAUUGAAAAUUGGAAUAAAAUUUUUUAUUAUUUAGAAUGUAAAAUAAAAUAAUAUUUGAUGCAUCAUUAGUGUAUAAGUAUUAUACAUUAUCAAUGAAUAAUAAUAGUAUAUAUCAUUAUUAAAUUAAAUAAAAAUUAUGGAGAAUUUAUAAAUAAAUACAAAUAAUUUUAUUUAAAUAUAAUUAAACAUUAAACGUAACUAUUAUAAAAAAAUAUUAGCAACACCCAGAUUUAGUAUAUUGAAUUUAAAUAUGUUUAAACAAAGUUAUUAAUAUUUAUUUAUAAGUCUUUUACUAUUUUUAUUAUAUUUAAUGAUGAGCUGUCAUGUUAUUAUUUACCAAUAGUACAAGGAAUUUAUGUAACGAUAAUAUAUUAAAUAUUUUUGUUUUAUAAUUUUAUUGAUCCAAAAUUGAACUAUUUAAAUUAAUAUAGAUAGAUUUAUUGUUACUGAUUUUUUUUUAAAUUACACUAAAAGAAAUACAAAACUAUCUUAUAUUCUUAAAUUAUAUUUUCAAAAAUGAAUAUGUGAUUUUUAUUAAUAGUAAACUUAAAAAAUAAACUUCAACCCAUUAAUAAUUCCACAUCAUGCAAAACCCAAGAGGUAGGAGAAAGGAAAAAUAUAUAUUAUAUAAAAAAAGGUAAACUAUAAAAAUAGUCAUUUUUGUUUGCUUCAGAUUUUACGUUUUAGUCACUUACAUUAUUGUUUUGUUAUAAAGUGAUCACUCUACUCUUAAGCUCUGUUACCUCCUUGACGUCGGUCUCACGUGGCAGUCCAAAUGAGUUUUAAAUACCAACUUAGAUGUCCUAAGUGGUAGUCCAAAUUAAAAUUAUUUAAUUAAAAACCUAUUUUCUUCCCAGCAACUAGACAUCCAAGUUGGCAUUUAAAAUUCAUUUGGACUGCCACGUAGGACUAUUGUUAGGGAUGUAACGGAGUUUAACGGUAGGGUGACGACAACUUCACAACAAAACAAUAACGUAAGUGGCUAAAACAUAAUAUUUCAAACAUAAGUGAUUAAAAGUGUAGUCUGAGACAAACAAAAGUGACUAUUUUUAUACUUUACCCUAUAUAAAAUUAUAUUUAUAAAAGAUAUGUUGAAUUGAACCAAUUAUAUUUAAUUUAUUAUAAGUAGUAUUUUUUAUAAAAUGGUGCUGUAAUAAUAUAUAAUUUUAAAAUAUGACAUUGAAGUCAUUUUCGAAUUGACUAGUAACAUGAAGAAAAGUGUAGCGUUCAGUUUGAAUUCAAAGUGGGGUGGUAUUGGUAAAUUUGGUUUGGUAUAAUAGUAACUAGAUUUUGACGCAUGUGAAAUGCAUUCUUCAAAUUAAAAUCAAAUGUCUCAAGUCAAAAAAUUAAACUAUAAAAUAAAUAAUGGGAAGUAAAUAUUUAAGAAUUUGUUGUUAAAUAAAAUAGAUGAGUUGCAUAAUUUUAAAUAUAUAUUCUCACAUAUUUUAUAAUAAAUAUAUUUUAUACAUUUUGUAAAUUUAUUGAAUUGUUUAUUUAAUUCAAGACACUAACUGAUAAACUGAAAAAAAAAACACUCGUACACUCAAACUCACGUCCUCCUAGCAACAAUGUUAUUGAAAGUUUAAGUACUUAAUUUAAGUUAAAAAAUCUAUUCGAUAUAUCACUUAAAAUUAAUUACGUACUAUAACUAAAUUGUUUGGUAAAUAUUGGUUUUAAAUUGUAAAAAUUAUAUUUUACAUUCUAUCCUUAAGUUUCAAAUAUUUUACCUUAUUUUAAAUAAAAGUCAAAAUUUGAAAGUAAAUUUUUUAUAGGAUAAUAUAAUAUUACCACAAAAUAAAAUUGAAUUAAUUGAAAAUAUUUUUCAUUAAGUAAUAAAUAGCUCUUAUCUAAUCAUUUUUCACACUUUUAUAGAAAAAUUUCUAUUGGAUUGUUUUUAUUUUUUAUUACCAAACAUGUGUAAAAAAAAUAAAUCAUUGAAAAUAUUAAAUUUCAAUUGAUUUAAUUUUUUCACAAAUGCCGAUUGAGUCUUAAUUCGAUUGGCAUGAACAUUAUUACCAAUGUAGAAAGAUGUGAGUUUGAGUGCGUUAAAGCGCAUUAUCUUCCUAUUUAUGGGUUGAGGAGAAGUUAUGAGUAGUUCUAAGUAUUGUGUCAAAAAAAUAAAUAUGAUCAAAACCUAUAAUGAAAUUGUUCAAAAAAAAAAUUCCCACAUGUUAUCAAAUAAAGCCUAAUUCAGAAUUUUUUUAAAUAUAAUAUAUAAAUGAUUAUGUUAGAAAUGAAUAUUUGUUGAGUCUAUUGACAAAAAGUUCAAUAUCCCUUAAAUAAUAUAUCAAGUUCAAGACAUGUAAAUAGAAAAAAUAAUAUUAAAAUAGUUUAAGUUACAGAACUUGAUUUAAUACAUUAGGAUAUAUGGUGAAGUUAGAAAAUUUUUGGGGCAAAAUUAAAUAAUAUAUUUUUAUAAUAGUAAAAAUGUAAUUUUAUUAUUUUAAUAAAAUUUUUAUUAUUUUUUGAGAAGUGAAAGUAAAAUUUUAUAAAUUAGAAAGAAGGUAAAUAAAAUAUUUUCUAAUUUUUGAAGCGAGAGCCUACCAACCCCUGUUAGUAGGGGUGAGCAUUUGAUCGAAUCGAAAAUUUUCAAGUUAAUCGAGUUUUCGAAUCUCAUUUUAUCAUCCUAACUUUAUUUGAAGUUUUCUCGAAUUGAGUCGAGUGAGAUGGAAUUCGAAUCGAAUAUAUUUAUUCGAGUUAAAUUUUAAAAAAUAAUUUUGGGUCCUUGUAGCCACUGUCACCCAUCGUAAUAAAAUUUGUCCACCUUAAUCAAUUUUUUAUUAACUUUCAUCACCUCAUAAUUUAUUUAUUAUUAUUUUUAUAUUAGUUAGCUUCUUUACUUGCUUAGUUGUUUCAAUUAUCUUCAGAUUAUUGUCACUAUGUAUUUUGGAAUUAAAAAAUAUAUUAAAUGUAAAAAUAUGAUUUUUUAAUAAAAGUUAUUUUAAAAAUAAAAUGUGAAAUUCAUGCUAAUAUAAAAUUUUAACACGAAUAUUUUAUGGCAUAAUUAAUAAUUCAAUUUUAAUAUAAAUAUUCAAUAUGACUAAACAAUUCAAUAAUAUAAAUAAUAUAAAAUGUGAAAUUUAAUUUAAUAAUAUAAAUAGUAGAUAUAAAUAAAAUUAUUACUAUUUAUGUUUAGUGAUUUUUUUUUGGAUAAUUUUGAUUUUUUAUUUGAGAGUAAAGGGUGAGAAGUAAAAGUUUAGGGGGAAAAUAAAAAAUUUUGGGAAUAAAAGUUUAAGGGAAAAUAAAUAGGAGGAGUAAAAUUUUGGAGGGAAAAUAUUAAAAAAAAUUGGAGGGGGGAGGGUUUGGGGUAGAUGGGAGGUGGGAUGAGAAGAGAAUAAAAGUUUUAGGGGAAAAGUGGGAGGGAGUAAAAAUUUUGGGGGAAAAUAAAAGGUUUUAAGGGUUUUUGGGAGUAAAAUUUUGAGAAAAGUAAAUGAGAGAGUAAAAUUUUGGUGGGAAAUAGAUUUUCGGUAGAUUAGGGGGUUGGGAGGAGAGGGGAGUUAAAGUUUUGGGGGAAAGUGGGAAGAAGUAAAAGUUUUGAGGGAAAAGUAAAAAGGUUUGGGAGUUUGGGGUAAAAAUGUAAAAUAUUAUAGUUUGAUAUUUGAAUUAUUCGAAUUAUUCGAGUUAUUCGAAUUUGAAAACUCAACUCGAUUCGAACUCGAAAUUUAAAAAAAAUUCGAGUUGAUUCGAAUAACUCGAAAUUUGAAUUUUUUUUCGAUUUUUCGAGUCGAAUCGAGUUUUACUCACCCCUACAUGUUAAGAUCCUUUUACCUUUUGAAUAUUAAAAGUAAAGAAAAAGAAAAGGUUUGAAUAAGGGUCUGUUUGAUUGCCAGUAAAAUGUUUUCCGUAAAAUGAUUUCUGGAAAAUGUUUUACUUUUUUGUAAAAUGAUUUACUGGAAAAUACUUUCUGGUGUUUGAUUGAAUCUGUGUAAAAUAUUUUCUGAAAAUAUUUUUCGAAAAAGUUGCUUUUACAUAUUAAUAUAUAUUAAUAAUUUUUUAUAUUUUAAAUUAUUUUACAUAUAUUGCAAUGAUUUAUUUAUAAUAAUACUCAAUUAUUAAGCUACAAUAUUAAUCGUUAUAAAUUAAAAAAAACUAAUAUCAAAUAAAUUAUUUGUAAUUGUGUUAAAAAACAAGUAUUGAAUAAUUAAAAAAACAAGUUACUGGAAAAUCGAUAAACAGAAGCAGUUUUCUACCAGAAAUGAAGGAAGGAAUGAAGGAGGCGAUAGAGAGGAGAGCACGGAAAAUAUCUUACGGAAAUUGAAAGGGUAAGAUAUUUUUCCUAAAAUGUAACUCAUUUUCCCUUGUUUUGGAGUUCAUUUUCCAAAUAGAAAAUGUUUUCUGUCAAUUAAACGUUGAAAAAAUUAGAAAUAAUUUUUCGAAAAAUUAAUUCCGUCAAUCAAACAGACCCUAAGAAAAAAAAAAAGGAAGUCAAAGAUACAACAAUGGACAGGGUGGGUGUUGGUUUGUGAGAUUUGCAUUUGGGAAUUGGAAUUACAGCCUAUACCCCCAAAGUUUUAAACCGCUUUGGUCUCAUUAAUUGUGUAAGAUAUUUUUUCACAUCAGAUAUUAUUAUUAAUUGUAGGAAAAUUAUCCGACAGACUGUUAGUGGACCGUAAAAAUGGGUCAUAUGUUUGAUUAAGACGAUGGUUAAAUUUUUACUUUCAUUUCUUACUCUCCGUAAAGUUAAAAAGGUGACAUAUUUCCUAUUAUGAUGAUUUAUACUAUAAAUAAAACAUUUAAUUUGAAUUGAUUUAACCGGCGAUCUUUUUGUCCCUAACUUUAACCAUAAUGAAAAUAAUUUUUCUUGAAAGAUUAAAAAAUCUCACCCACCGACACCGACUUACCACCUGCUUUUCAGCAAUCCGAAUAGAUCGACAACACGUGCUUGAUUCUCAGAAACGCGUUCUGGGGCUUCAUCUCAGCCGUCAGAUUGAAAUUUCCACCCAACACCUCGAUGAAUCUAGCCUCAAUCUCGUUUCCAGGGGGCUGCCAACUUCGGUUUCUCUUACAUUGCCCCUCCCUAUAUAUACUCUUUCUCCCCCACCUUGCCUACUUGCCUAUCACCCCAUCUCUCCUCUCAUACUUCACUCUAACGUUCCCUUUGAGGUUUUAGGAAAACAGCAGAGGUACCCAACGCUCCUCCUUUUUCCGUUUUAGUUCACUUCUUGUGAUAUUGGUAUUAGUUUUUGUAUGUGGGUCAUUUCGUACUUCAUGUUUUGCAUAUGAAAUGCUAUAAAUCUUUGCUAUUUCUGCUUUUGAGUUGCAGAUCUGCUUGUCUUUUUAGCGUGUUUCUUUAGUGGAAUAAAAGAUUUAUUGAAUUGGGUUUUGCAGAAAUUAAGGAAUGGAGACCUUCCUAUUUACCUCGGAGUCUGUGAACGAGGGACAUCCCGACAAGCUGUGUGAUCAGAUCUCUGAUGCAGUCCUCGAUGCCUGUUUGGCACAGGAUCCUGAGAGCAAGGUGGCUUGCGAGACCUGCAGCAAGACAAACAUGGUGAUGGUGUUUGGUGAGAUCACUACCAAAGCCGACGUAGACUACGAGAAGAUUGUGCGUGACACCUGCCGUGGCAUCGGUUUCACAUCUGACGAUGUGGGUCUGGAUGCCGACAACUGCAAAGUGCUGGUUAACAUAGAGCAACAAAGCCCUGAUAUUGCCCAAGGUGUCCAUGGCCAUCUCAGUAAGCGUCCCGAGGAAAUCGGUGCUGGUGACCAGGGCCAUAUGUUUGGUUACGCCACAGAUGAAACCCCUGAACUGAUGCCUUUGACCCAUGUUUUGGCAACCAGGCUUGGUGCUCGCCUCACUGAAGUUCGCAAGAACGGAACUUGCCCUUGGCUCAGACCUGAUGGCAAGACUCAAGUCACCGUCGAGUAUUACAACGACAAGGGUGCCAUGGUGCCUGUUCGUGUCCACACCGUGCUCAUCUCCACUCAACAUGACGAGACCGUGACUAACGAUGAGAUAGCUGCUGAUUUGAAGGAGCACGUCAUCAAGCCGGUUAUACCCGAGAAGUACCUUGAUGAGAAAACCAUUUUCCACCUUAACCCGUCAGGCCGUUUCGUCAUUGGAGGUCCCCAUGGUGAUGCUGGUCUCACUGGUCGCAAGAUUAUCAUUGAUACUUAUGGAGGAUGGGGUGCUCAUGGUGGUGGGGCUUUCUCUGGUAAAGACCCUACCAAGGUGGAUAGAAGCGGGGCUUACAUUGUGAGGCAGGCUGCGAAGAGCAUUGUUGCUAAUGGACUAGCUAGGAGGUGCAUCGUGCAAGUCUCCUACGCCAUUGGUGUACCUGAGCCAUUGUCUGUAUUUGUGGACACUUACGGUACUGGAAAGAUCCCAGACAAGGAAAUUCUCAAGAUUGUGAAGGAGAACUUUGACUUCAGACCAGGAAUGAUUGCCAUCAAUCUUGAUCUUAAGAGAGGGGGCAAUAGCAGGUUCUUGAAGACUGCUGCGUAUGGUCAUUUUGGUCGGGAUGACACAGAUUUCACUUGGGAGGUUGUCAAGCCACUGAAGUGGGACAAGGUCCAUGCUUAAUUGGAGCUUCUUCACAUUGAUUCUAUGUCUGGUUUAUCUUAUCUGCUGUCUGCUACCAUAUGAGUCUGCUUUUCUUACAAUUUCCUUUAAUUUCUUUUUUUGGGUUUGAAAUUUGAUUAAAUUUAUAUAUAUGCA
RNAcentral lists this long non-coding RNA (20475 nucleotides) under Gossypium barbadense (sea-island cotton). RNAcentral describes it as "long non-coding RNA (GBAR_LNC013988)". Lineage: Eukaryota; Viridiplantae; Streptophyta; Magnoliopsida; Malvales; Malvaceae. The record is from RNAcentral.